RNAcentral lists this transfer RNA (82 nucleotides) under Merluccius polli (Benguela hake). It matches the Rfam family "tRNA". Rfam says of the family: Transfer RNA (tRNA) molecules are approximately 80 nucleotides in length. Their secondary structure includes four short double-helical elements and three loops (D, anti-codon, and T loops). Lineage: Eukaryota; Metazoa; Chordata; Actinopteri; Gadiformes; Merlucciidae. The record is from Rfam by way of RNAcentral.
GUUGUUGUGGCCGAGUGGUUAAGGUGGUGGACUGGAAAUCCAUUGGGGUCUCCCCGCGCAGGUUCGAAUCCUGCAGUCAACG